GACGAACGCUGGCGGCGUGCUUAACACAUGCAAGUCGAACGCUGAAGCUCAGCUUUUGUUGGGUGGAUGAGUGGCGAACGGGUGAGUAACACGUGAGUAACCUGCCCCCUUCUUUGGGAUAACGCCCGGAAACGGGUGCUAAUACUGGAUAUUCACUGGCUUUCGCAUGGGGGUUGGUGGAAAGGUUUUUCUGGUGGGGGAUGGGCUCGCGGCCUAUCAGCUUGUUGGUGGGGUGAUGGCCUACCAAGGCUUUGACGGGUAGCCGGCCUGAGAGGGUGACCGGUCACAUUGGGACUGAGAUACGGCCCAGACUCCUACGGGAGGCAGCAGUGGGGAAUAUUGCACAAUGGGCGAAAGCCUGAUGCAGCGACGCCGCGUGAGGGAUGGAGGCCUUCGGGUUGUAAACCUCUUUCGCUCAUGGUCAAGCCGCAGCUUUGGGUUGUGGUGAGGGUAGUGGGUAAAGAAGCGCCGGCUAACUACGUGCCAGCAGCCGCGGUAAUACGUAGGGCGCGAGCGUUGUCCGGAAUUAUUGGGCGUAAAGGGCUUGUAGGCGGUUGGUCGCGUCUGCCGUGAAAUCCUCUGGCUUAACUGGGGGCGUGCGGUGGGUACGGGCUGACUUGAGUGCGGUAGGGGAGACUGGAACUCCUGGUGUAGCGGUGGAAUGCGCAGAUAUCAGGAAGAACAUCGGUGGCGAAGCGGGUCUCUGGGCCGUUUACUGACGCUGAGGAGCGAAAGCGUGGUGAGCGAACAGGAGUAGAUACCCUGGUAGUCCAAGGGCGAAUUCCACAGUGGAUAUCAAGCUUAUCGAUACCGUCGACCUCAAAGGGGGGGCCACGGUACCCAUCUUUUGGUCCUUUAGUGAGGGUUAAUUUACCUAUAUGUGGGUCUGUAGUUGUGUAGUAUGUUGUGCGUAUGUUGAUUGUGUGUGGGAUGUGUGAUUGUCUGUUGUGAUGUUUUGGUUGUUGGUGUGUUGUGUGUGUGUGUGGCUGUGUGUUGUGUUGUGGAUGUGUUUUGAUGUUGUGUGUUUUGAUGUGCGAUGAUAGUGUGGUCAUGUGUGUUGAUGUUAUAGUGAGGUGUGUGUGUGUUUGUUGUGUGUUGUGUUGUUGUGUGUGUUGUGUUGUUUGUGUUGUAUGCGUUGUGCUGGUGAUCGUGUGAGUGUGGGUACUGAUGAGUGUGACUCUUAGUGACUGAUGGUGUG
RNAcentral lists this ribosomal RNA (1198 nucleotides) under uncultured Actinomyces sp. Its description in RNAcentral is "bacterial SSU rRNA". The stretch from base 1 to 815 matches the Rfam family "Bacterial small subunit ribosomal RNA", at positions 28 to 873 of the family's 1533-position model. Lineage: Bacteria; Bacillati; Actinomycetota; Actinomycetes; Actinomycetales; Actinomycetaceae. The record is from RNAcentral.